Molecule: transfer RNA, 77 nt
Filed under: Escherichia phage phiEB49
Lineage: Duplodnaviria; Heunggongvirae; Uroviricota; Caudoviricetes; Drexlerviridae
Description: Escherichia phage EB49 tRNA-Val
Source: RNAcentral
GGCCCGUUAGGCUUACAGGAUAAGAUUCCCGUACUUAACAAGUAUCGAUGCUGGUUCGAAUCCAGUGCGGGCCACCA